RNAcentral lists this long non-coding RNA (546 nucleotides) under Sus scrofa (pig). RNAcentral describes it as "lncRNA (ENSSSCG00030006323.1)". The record is from RNAcentral. Lineage: Eukaryota; Metazoa; Chordata; Mammalia; Artiodactyla; Suidae.
GGCACACAGGUUUAUGUAAUAGCUUGAAAGCUAUUAGGGGAAACCCUUUAUAAGGGUUGUGGAGGCAGCUUACCCUUUUCAACCCUUCUGGAAGUCUUGAAGUAGAAGAGUAGCAGUCUCAGUUCAGCCAGCCAUCUGCUCAGGACUUGCUAGAAAUUUAAGAUGGCCUUCUUGCAGUGUUUAUUACCUGCAACUGGACGAUAGAUAAAAACUGAAAAAAGCAGGUCCAGGAUUUGAUUAUAGGGGUUGAACAAAUGCAAAAUACAUGUAAUGCUCAACUUCUGGGAGUUUUCUGACAUUAGAGUUUUGGUAGUGACCCUGAGAACUUGGAUGUCUGGGAAGAACUGACCUGAGAAUGUUGGACCUCCAGAUUUUCCUAGUAUCUCUGGACUUUGAGAACAGCGUCUUUCCUUGACUGAGGAUAAUAUGAAGAAAUUGCCUGAGAAUACACAUGUUGUCCAAAUGGGAUGUAUCUGCAUGAGAUUUACUGAGACCUUGGCUGCAUACUUCUGAGAAAAGCCCUGUUGCAUCAGAAAAUCUUCGUGA